RNAcentral lists this ribosomal RNA (482 nucleotides) under uncultured bacterium. RNAcentral describes it as "bacterial SSU rRNA". It matches the Rfam family "Bacterial small subunit ribosomal RNA", at positions 29 to 506 of the family's 1533-position model. The record is from RNAcentral.
AUGAACGCUAGCGGCAGGCCUAACACAUGCAAGUCGAGGGGCAGCGAGUGUAGCAAUACAUGUCGGCGACCGGCGCACGGGUGAGUAACGCGUAUGCAACCUACCUUUAACUGGAGAAUAGCUCCCUGAAAAGGGAAUUAAUGCUCCAUAACAUUAUCUGAGGGCAUCUGAGGAUAAUUAAAGCUCCGGCGGUUAAAGAUGGGCAUGCGUGCCAUUAGCUAGUUGGUAGGGUAACGGCCUACCAAGGCUACGAUGGCUAGGGGGUCUGAGAGGAUGAUCCCCCACACUGGAACUGAGACACGGUCCAGACUCCUACGGGAGGCAGCAGUGAGGAAUAUUGGUCAAUGGGGGCAACCCUGAACCAGCCAUGCCGCGUGAAGGAUGAAAGCCUUAUGGGUUGUAAACUUCUUUUGUAUGAGGCGAACAGUUUCUAUGCGUAGAGACCUGACAGUACCAUACGAAUAAGCAUCGGCUAACUCCGU